CCCCCUCUUUUGGGUCCAAACCCCCAUUUUCCGGCACUUCUAGGUUCAACAAGCCGAUUCUUCCCCCCCGCCCGCCUUUUUGAGUCCAACCCCCCAUUUUCCACCACUUUGGGGGAGGAAAAACCCACCUUUCCCCAACUUUUUUGUGUCCAAGCCCCCAUUUUUCACCCCCCAUGCUCCGGCUCCCGCUGCCCUUUCGCUUUUGCCUUUUACCGGAAUCGCUGCUGCUCCGGGAAACGACAGUGGCAUAAAAACCUGGAGCCUCCGGAGGCCCCGCAGCCGCCAGCGAAAACGGCCCUUUUUCGCCCAAAAGCUAUUGUGGCAAACGAUCCAUUCGGCCCCAAAACCGAACGGCCGCGACAGCAGCUUUUAAUUCCAGGUGGAUUGAGGGAAACGGCGCUUUUUAACUGCAAAGCGGAGCUGAGGGAUUGGGGGGUAGCAGCAUCCUUUAACCCCCGGGAGCCUGGCAGAAACGGCAAGUUUUGACUCAGGUGGAUUGAGGGAAACGGCGCUUUUUAACUGCAAAGCGGAGCUGAGGGAUUGGGGGGUAGCAGCAUCCUUUAACCCCCGGGAGCCUGGCAGAAACGGCAAGUUUUGACUCAGGUGGAUUGAGGGAAACGGCGCU
Molecule: long non-coding RNA, 625 nt
Organism: Rhea pennata
Lineage: Eukaryota; Metazoa; Chordata; Aves; Rheiformes; Rheidae
Exons: 3
Source: RefSeq, a predicted model, not a curated record